This 437-nucleotide ribosomal RNA is filed under the name uncultured bacterium. RNAcentral describes it as "bacterial SSU rRNA". It matches the Rfam family "Bacterial small subunit ribosomal RNA", at positions 28 to 477 of the family's 1533-position model. The record is from RNAcentral.
GAUGAACGCUGGCGGCGUGCUUAACACAUGCAAGUCGAACGAUUGAAGCUGGAGCUUGCUCCGGCCGAUUUAGUGGCGGACGGGUGAGUAACGCGUGGGUAACCUGCCUCAUACAGGGGGAUAGCAGUUGGAAACGACUGGUAAAACCGCAUAAGCGCACGGUGUCGCAUGACACAGUGUGAAAACACUCCGGUGGUAUGAGAUGGACCCGCGUCUGAUUAGCUAGUUGGUGAGGUAACGGCCCACCAAGGCGACGAUCAGUAGCCGGCCUGAGAGGGUGAACGGCCACAUUGGGACUGAGACACGGCCCAAACUCCUACGGGAGGCAGCAGUGGGGAAUAUUGCACAAUGGGGGAAACCCUGAUGCAGCGACGCCGCGUGAGUGAUGAAGUGUUUCGGUAUGUAAAGCUCUAUCAGCAGGGAAGAUAAUGACGGUA